This 492-nucleotide ribosomal RNA is filed under the name uncultured bacterium. RNAcentral describes it as "partial 16S ribosomal RNA". It matches the Rfam family "Bacterial small subunit ribosomal RNA", at positions 29 to 507 of the family's 1533-position model. The record is from RNAcentral.
AGUGAACGCUGGCGGUAGGCCUAACACAUGCAAUUCGAACGGCAGCACAGUAAGAGCUUGCUCUUACGGGUGGCGAGUGGCGGACGGGUGAGGAAUACAUCGGAAUCUACUUUUUCGUGGGGGAUAACGUAGGGAAACUUACGCUAAUACCGCAUACUCCCUACGGGUGAAAGCAGGGGAUCUUCGGACCUUGCGCGAUUGAAUGAGCCGAUGUCGGAUUAGCUAGUUGGCGGGGUAAAGGCCCACCAAGGCGACGAUCCGUAGCUGGUCUGAGAGGGUGAUCAGCAACACUGGAACUGAGACACGGUCAAGACUCCUACGGGAGGCAGCAGUGGGGAAUAUUGGACAAUGGGCGCAAGCCUGAUCCAGAAAUACCGCGUGGGUGAAGAAGGCCUUCGGGUUGUAAAGCACUUUUGUUGGGAAAGAAAAGCAGCAGGUUAAUAAACCGCUGUUAUGACGGUACCCAAAGAAUAAGCACCGGAUAACUUCGUG